Molecule: ribosomal RNA, 650 nt
Filed under: uncultured Pseudoalteromonas sp.
Lineage: Bacteria; Pseudomonadati; Pseudomonadota; Gammaproteobacteria; Alteromonadales; Pseudoalteromonadaceae
Description: bacterial SSU rRNA
Rfam family: Bacterial small subunit ribosomal RNA
Source: RNAcentral
CUCAGAUUGAACGCUGGCGGCAGGCCUAACACAUGCAAGUCGAGCGGUAACAUUUCUAGCUUGCUAGAAGAUGACGAGCGGCGGACGGGUGAGUAAUGCUUGGGAACAUGCCUUGAGGUGGGGGACAACAGUUGGAAACGACUGCUAAUACCGCAUAAUGUCUACGGACCAAAGGGGGCUUCGGCUCUCGCCUUUAGAUUGGCCCAAGUGGGAUUAGCUAGUUGGUGAGGUAAUGGCUCACCAAGGCGACGAUCCCUAGCUGGUUUGAGAGGAUGAUCAGCCACACUGGGACUGAGACACGGCCCAGACUCCUACGGGAGGCAGCAGUGGGGAAUAUUGCACAAUGGGCGCAAGCCUGAUGCAGCCAUGCCGCGUGUGUGAAGAAGGCCUUCGGGUUGUAAAGCACUUUCAGUCAGGAGGAAAGGUUAGUAGUUAAUACCUGCUAGCUAUGACGUUACUGACAGAAGAAGCACCGGCUAACUCCGUGCCAGCAGCCGCGGUAAUACGGAGGGUGCGAGCGUUAAUCGGAAUUACUGGGCGUAAAGCGUACGCAGGCGGUUUGUUAAGCGAGAUGUGAAAGCCCCGGGCUCAACCUGGGAACUGCAUUUCGAACUGGCAAACUAGAGUGUGAUAGAGGGUGGUAGAAUUUC